RNAcentral lists this transfer RNA (75 nucleotides) under Chloroflexota bacterium. Its description in RNAcentral is "Chloroflexi bacterium tRNA-Lys". It matches the Rfam family "tRNA". From Rfam's summary of the family: Transfer RNA (tRNA) molecules are approximately 80 nucleotides in length. The record is from RNAcentral. RNAcentral also lists the same sequence under 3 other names. Lineage: Bacteria; Bacillati; Chloroflexota.
GGGCCCGUAGCUCAACGGUAGAGCGGGGGACUCUUAAUCCCUAGGUUCAGGGUUCGAAUCCCUGCGGGCUCACCA